UUUAUUUCUUUUUUUUUCGCGUACAGUUUCGUAUGCGCGCGUGCGCAAUCCACGCAGAUUGUUAUAUUAUUCUUGUUAUAACAAUCUUUUGUUUUGUGACCGAGUUGAAAAUUUCGUGAUCUUCCGGUUGUAGAUAAUAAACGAAGACUGUGUUAGGGUGUAAAUAUUUAUUUUUUUUUAAUUUUACCGGAAGGACUUUUUAAGAGUUUUGAAACACGUGGACAGUGAAAAAAGAUUGUUUCCUUGUCGUUACAGACAAGGGAAUAAUAUUUCGAUAUAUUUGACAGAACUGAAUGAAACACUUUAUCAAGUGGAGAAAAAAAUCCAGUGCCAGUUCGUGGAAAGCAGAGUGCCAUACCUGAGCGAGUGGCACUCCUCCAAAAAUCCUCAGGUCCUUUUAGGAACCACAUGGAGAGUAGGAACCACCGCUGCCUGCAGUAAGGAUAGUAGGAGACCUGCUGCCUAAAAAGUAGGAGUCCUGCUUGGCAUACCACUAGGAGAGUUACUGCUGCCUCCUGCAGGAGCAGUAGGAAGCUGGCCCCCGCCGCCUUCAGUGAGAGUAGGAGGCCUGCCAACGGCCACCGCCCCCUCCCCCCCCUCCCCCCACCCCCACCCCACUAUCCCCCCCACAAACGCAAAAUGUCGACGCCCGGGGAGAGGUUACUUAGCCAGAUCCAGAUGGUGCAAGGGCAGGUCACUCAACUUCGUCAGGAGGCUUCCAUCAAAAGAAUUCCCGUCAGCCAGGCCUGUAGCGACUUGAUGAAAUACUGCGAGGAACACCAACACACAGACGUCCUAGUGACCGGCAUCACUCAGUCCGAGAAUCCGUUCAAGGAGACCAAAGCCUGCAGCAUCUUGUGAUGGAGGACCCCCAACGUAAGCAUAGUUUGGGACUGAUAGACACACAAUAAUCGUGAAGAGGAAGUAAGAAAAAGAAGAAGAAGAAAGAGAAGGAGGAAUAAAAGAAGAUAAUGAAGGAGGAAAAAGAAAGGGACCCUUCUUCUUCUACCUGAGAAUUUUAUCAUCUACAGCCUCACUCCCUUUCCCUCACCACCUCCCACUUCUCCCUUCCCCUUCUUUCCACUCCCCCUUCCUCCUCUUAUUCUUCUUCCUUUUCCCCGCUUCUCCCUUUAUUAUUAAUAGUUAUUAUUAUUAUUACGACCAAAAAAAAUACUGUUUUGGCCUCAUGACAAAAACAAAUCAACUUUUUCCUUGUGUUUAGAUAAUAAUACUUGGUAGAAUUAAGACUGGUUAAGUGUGUGUGUGUGUGUGUGUGUGUGUGUGUGUGAUUGAGAGAGAGAGAGAGUGUGUGUGUGUGUGUAUGUGUGUGUGUAUGAGAGAGAGAGAGAGAGUUUGAAUUAAUCUAGUUAAGGCAUCAAGUCUUCUCGUAUUUCAACAGAGUAACAACGGAAUACCUGCUAUUCUGUUUCCUGUGUAUAAACUCACUUUUUAGGUUGUAUUGGGAUUAGAAUAAUUAUUAUUAUUAAUAUUAUUAUUAUUAUUAUUAUUAUUAUUAUUAUUAUCAUUCAUUAUUAAUAUCUGUUGUGGCUAUUCUUCGCCAUUAUCAUUCAUCAUCAUCUUUUUCUUCUGCUUUUUCUUCUUCUUCUUUGUUUUUCGCAGAAGUAGGUUAGAGUAAUGUGGGUGACUUAUGUGGAUUAAACUUGUAAGAUAAGAAUUCUGACUGACAGUCUUUCGCAGUGUGUCAGUGGAAUAUAUUAUUAUUAUUAUUAUUAUUAUUAUUAUUAUUAUUAUUAUUAUUAUUAUUGUACUAUCUCGUAAGACUUUCCGGAAGUGCUUUAAAAUCAAAAGUGUUAAAAGAGUGCUUAAGUCAAGUGUCCAGAAGAAGUGAGACAACAUUUUUUUUUUAGCCGUAGUCGACAGUGUUCCCUCCUCUCUCGUGAAUAAACUUAAUUUUGGAAUAUUUCGAAGCUGUAAUUACGUGGAUAACUCGGGCUUUCGCAAAUUGAACGAAUGCGUCAGUAGAUCUAUCAGUGAUACGCUAAAUUUACUUUUAUUUCAAGUUCCUAUUAUAAAUUGGAUUGCGCUCAGAGGGUCAAAUCAUAGUAAAAUAAUUUUACGGCGAUACAACACAUUUGUAUAUUGAUGUAUCUUCGUGGUUGAUACUAGCGUUGAUAUAGUGUAUUUCCCUCGUCUUUUAAAUUUAAUAUCCAACACUUAUAGAAAAAGAUUGUUAUACAUAUAACUAUAAAAUUUUCACAGUUUUUAUUUCUUGAAAGGCAAUUCUUAUUCAAUCUAGACUCUUUGCAAUUUCUUAAUUCAUUUCGUAAAGUGAUAAAUGUUAUAAUUGGGCCAUUUCACCUUGAAUAAAUGAAAAAAAUAAGAGAGAAACUAUCCUAUAAAGGCGAAACACUUACAUUCAAUAUAGUCCGUGAUAUCUUGCAAAUUCAUUAGGCCUAAAUUCGAUCAUUUCUUAGGCCCACGUUACUUAACCAACCACUUAACUGACUGACUCUUUCAAGUAAGUUUACUAGAAAAAAAAAAAUUGAGGAAAACCAUUCAAAGGCUUAAGAAUUACGCUUAACAUCGUCUAUGAUAUCUACGAAUUACAUUAGGCCUAACUCCUAUAAGUUCUUAGGCCUAUUUCACUGAAACAGUUAUACCAAACUGACCACCACAGUUAAGUGAUUUUAACUUUAAGAAAAUUAAAUAAGGAAAAACCGCUCAAAGGGGUAACAAUUACACUCAACGUUGUAUAUUUUAACUGUGAAAUACACUAGGCCUAGCAGAAUUACAUCGGGCGUAAUUCCUAUAAGUUUGAUAAGUUUAUAGGCCUAGGUUACCUCUAACCAACCACCAAACUGACCGACUCGGAUUCACCUCUGGUUUCCCCGUCUCUCGUGACUCUCUUCCUCCCUUCUUCCUCCUCUUCCUCUUCCUCCUCCUAUUCUCCUUCGUCCUCCCCUUUAUCGUCCGUCUCCAAUGUAUCCCUCUAUUCGUCAUCCCCUCUGCCUCAAUCCUCCUCCCUCUCUCACUCCCCUUCGACGUUCAUCUCCGGAUCGACGUCUUCCUUGCGAUCGUCGACUGUUUCUUCUUCGUCCCUCCUUCGCACGCCCUCCGAGGAAGGGUCCUCCUCCCCCUCCCCCCUGGCUCCGGAGGGCAGCUAUAAUAUCAGCCCCUUCGCGCCCUUUUCCAACGCCCGAUGGCGGGACCUUCUCGCCAACUUGCUGUUCUUCGUAGCGACGCUCUUCUUGUUUUCGCUGUUGGUCUUCGCUGUUCUUCUCACCUCGUCCUCUGUUCUGCAGGGUGUUCUCACCUUCUACGUCUCUCUCCUCUUGGCUUUGUUCACGUCCGUGUUCAUCUCUUCUCUCGUUGUUCUGACGUUCGUCGUCGCUUCUCAGGUUGUUUUGUCUCUCUCCUGCUCGUUGUUUUUCCUCCUCUGCGCAGUUUUCGUUGGCGGGAGCCGGUGGGGUCGAAACAACAGUAAUUUUCUGGCCUAGGAAAACCAGAGCUAAAAGAUAAUAUAUUAUUAAAACACGUUACCAUGGAAGCACAUAUGUUCUUUUUAAUUCGUAUGCCCCAGAAGUAGUUAUUAUUAUUAUUAUUAUUAUUAUUAUUAUUAUUAUUAUUAUUAUUAUUAUUAUUAUUAUUAUUAUUAUUAUAGGCCUAAUAGCCUCUCGAGUCAAUACUAAAGUAUUAGUAUAGCCCUAAUAGCCUCUUGAGUGAGGACCAAAGUAUUGUUAUAGGCCUGAUGGCCUUUCGCGUGAGGAUCAAAGUAUUAUUAUAGGCCUAAUGGCCUUUCGUGUGAAGAUCAAAGUAUUAUUAUAGGUCUAAUGGCCUCUCGAGUGAAAACCCAAGAAUUGUCUUAGGCCCAAAAGCCUCUCAAAUAAAGACCAAAAAUUGUCAUAGGCCUACUGACCUUUCAAGUGAAGACCCAAGUAUUAUUAUAGGCCUAAUGCCCUUUCGAGUGAAGACUAAAGUAUUAUUACUAUAGGCCUAAUAGCCUAUCGAGUUGCUAUAGGCCUCCUAAUACCCUGUCAAGUGAAGAUGAAAGUAUUUUUAUAGGCCUAUAAAGAAGCCUUCCGAGUUUGAAGUGUAGACUAAAAGUAUUGUUAAGUCGUCAGAAUGUCUUAAAUUAGGACUUGUGUUUGUGUGUUUAUCUAAACGUAUAUAUAUCACUGCCUUGGACUGAUUGCCUUAAGAUUGGAGUGUACUGUGAACUGUAAUGACUUGUGAUUUAAUCAUUUUUAGACUUAAUUCUCAUCGUGGUAUUCAUAAGCUUUGAUUUAUUACUUUUAUUUUGCCCUUUACCGUUUAGUGGUAUUGGCUGUUUAUUGGGUAUGCGUGUAUAUGUAUGUAUGUAUGUAUACUACACACAUGCUGUAUGCCUGUACUCAUGAGUGCAUUGAUUGAUGUAGCUUUAAUUAUCGUAGCUGGAAGGUGUGACUACUUAAAACCUGGAAAAUUCCAGUGGAAGGAAGAUUUGUAUACGGUACAAUAUUUUAUCAUGAAUUAUCAUCCACAUUUUUCGAUGCCUGUUCUUUGCUGCAACUCUUUAGGCUAACUGUAGAACUUAGCGACCUAACUUUAUUUGUUAUGUAAUGUGUAGCUUUUUUUUUCAACAAACUUGGAGCCUUUGCUUGCUUAUAUACAGUGAUAUUAAAUUAUAUAAAAAGGAGUAUUUCG
This is a long non-coding RNA of Macrobrachium nipponense, 4644 nucleotides long. RefSeq lists it as uncharacterized. The transcript has 4 exons. The record is from RefSeq and is a predicted model, not a curated record. NCBI's taxonomy places the organism in Eukaryota, Metazoa, Arthropoda, Malacostraca, Decapoda, Palaemonidae.